Molecule: ribosomal RNA, 253 nt
Filed under: uncultured bacterium
Lineage: Bacteria
Description: partial 16S ribosomal RNA
Rfam family: Bacterial small subunit ribosomal RNA
Source: RNAcentral
UACGUAGGGGGCUAGCGUUGUCCGGAUUUAUUGGGCGUAAAGAGCGUGUAGGCGGCCAGGUAGGUCCGCUGUGAAAACUCGAGGCUCAACCUCGAGACGUCGGUGGAAACCAUCUGGCUAGAGUCCGGAAGAGGAGAGUGGAAUUCCCGGUGUAGCGGUGAAAUGCGCAGAUAUCGGGAAGAACACCCGUGGCGAAAGCGGCUCUCUGGGACGGUACUGACGCUGAGACGCGAAAGCGUGGGGAGCGAACAGG